Molecule: long non-coding RNA, 448 nt
Organism: Trichoplusia ni (cabbage looper)
Lineage: Eukaryota; Metazoa; Arthropoda; Insecta; Lepidoptera; Noctuidae
Exons: 2
Source: RefSeq, a predicted model, not a curated record
UGGAUUCUGUCUCCGCCGUGUCUGGAGGCGCGGUCGCUUUCGUGCGCCGAAGGAAACUGCGCUUUGGAGCCUGUGGAAAAAUAAACGGAAAACAUGGAAGGUAAAUGAGCAACUGAAACGCCAGAUUCUUCUGGCGUUAUGCAGAACAAGAAAACGUGAAGAACCAAGAAGAGACGUCGAGAAGAAGUACUAAUGAUGACUGGUUUUAGAGAUUUAUGGGAUAUUUAAAUAAACUGAGUCAAUUUUCGUGUUUCCUUAAUUCAACCCCUACCCAAAGCUCUAUAUUUUAAGAUGUAAAAAUAUUUAUGUCGUUCUGUCUAUUAAGUGAUUUUUCACUUACUAUAAGAUGAGAAGUAAAUUAUUAAGUAUUGAAGAAGAGUGGUAAUAACUGUGCAGAUUGAAAUAUAUAGCAACAAUUUCAAAGUAAUAAAUAUCGACAUAAUACCAA